AAACAAUAAAGAAAAGUAAUCAAUUUUGUGACUGUAUUCCAACUCCUCAUGCAUGAGGACAGGGUAUGAAAAAUGCUGAGUUGGAUUGGCAGCCUUCUUCCAUGUGAAGGAUCACAUGUUACGUGAGGAAUUAAGGAUCCCUUCCACCCACCAUCUCUUCUGCAAAUCCCACAGACCACAAGUUCCAAUAUGAAGAAAUAAUAAAUAAAACAAAACACUAUGUUGAUUAUUAAGGGUGAUAGCCAGGAUUGCAAGUUGCAAAUUUUAUCUCAUUUUUUAAAUAUUAUGUUAGUUGUUAAAUUGUUCCAUUUUAGUUUUAGAAUAAAUUCAUUGUGAAUAUAUGUGUGUGUGUGUAUAUAUAUAUAUAUAUAUAUAUAUUGGUCCUUCAACUAUAUCUUUUCAUAAUUAUUUUAAUAAAUUGAUACAAGAAAUAAUUUAAUUUUAAGCUUCAUUAACAAUAGAAUGAAGGAAUGGAUGAAUAUAUUAUGUAUGUAUGUGUAUAAAUUAAUGUUUUUAUCAGUAUUGUUUUUGUACAAUUUUGUUUUGAAGAUGGAUUUAUAGGAGCAAAAAUAUAAAGAUAUUUUGGUUUAAGAAAGUUUCAUUUCAAUGAAACAUGUAUGUAUGUGUGUAUGUGUGUGUGUAUGCAUGUAUGUAUGUUUAAAAA
This 664-nucleotide long non-coding RNA is filed under the name Physcomitrium patens. RNAcentral's name for it is "long non-coding RNA (PPAT_LNC013367)". The record is from RNAcentral. Lineage: Eukaryota; Viridiplantae; Streptophyta; Bryopsida; Funariales; Funariaceae.